Molecule: long non-coding RNA, 3004 nt
Organism: Bombus pyrosoma
Lineage: Eukaryota; Metazoa; Arthropoda; Insecta; Hymenoptera; Apidae
Exons: 3
Source: RefSeq, a predicted model, not a curated record
AAACUAGCAUACGAGUAUUGGUGGCGCUUGUAAACAUUUACGUAUUCCGGUAAAUACGGCGAUAAGACUGAUAACAGUGAAGAAAUGAGAGUGCUCACGCCUAUUGUCUACUUGUUCUACAAUACAGGUGCUGCACCACGCGACCAAUUGCUGAAGUUGUUCUAUGCUAGCAUGUAUAAGAAUCUAUUUUCCACUACAAACAAGCUAUACUCCCUGUGGUUCCACGCUACAAAAACCUAUUUUAUUGAAUGAUUCUAGUUUUCUAUCCGAGAUAGUUGAUUGAAUGUUGCGAUCGUUUGAGAUUGAUUGACAUUUACACAUGGUGUGCCGACUAAUAAAACUAAUUAGCUCAAACAACCACCCACUAGAGCCUACCAACUAGAGCUGACUACUAACCGGCGAUAACGAGAAGCAACUAGAGAUGAUAAAUAACUAUUAGCUGUGACAAAUGACGACUACGUAUGAUCAACACCGAUUCGCUAUGAUGAGUAACGACUAAGGAUGACUAUCAGCAACUAGCAACGAUGACGAUUAACUAGUGACUUAUUUUUAAAGGCAACCAACUCGCAGUGAAUGCAUCCGUAACGAGAUAUGUCCUUGAGCUAGGAUAAAGGAACUAGUCGCUGGUUGAGGGAAGCUUGGCAACACAGAAAUCCUGCAAGGUCAAAACUCGGCCUUACAAAGUACGAAAAACUGUUCAACCAGGGAUCAAACAUUCGAACCAACGGUAGAAAAAGAAAUCAGUAGAUACGCAAAACAAUGCAAGAAAAGAACGGCGACACAACAAAACCAGCUGGCUGCUGAAGCGAGCAGAAACCUCAUAAAAAGGAGACUAGAAAACACCCCACUGACUUCACUAAAGAAAUAAAAUAGACAAACUCGAAGAUGGUAUGCCACUGGGGGUAGCCAUCCACAUGUUAUUUAGCAACAAAGCUAGAAAAAUUUACCGAAUGUCGAACUGGACAAAGCAAGGGAUAAAUAUAUAAGCGAAUUUUGUAUGAACAUAAUCUAUACACAUAUUAUUAUAAACUCAUUACGAUUUAUUCGAAACAUCACAUUUAACCAGGAUGGUAAAAUACACGCAAGAUAGCCUGUACCAUUCGCUCGUGUUGAUUCUACGAAGAAUACCUGAAGACGCUAACCAUCGCAGUCGCUAAACGUUGAGGUUCCCCGGAUCACGACGCCAUCUAAUAUACAUUUAUAUACAAUGUAUUCAUAUAAUAUGUUUAUAUGGAACCGUUUCUAUUGGCAAGCUAAACUGCCCCAGCCACUUAAACAGUUGGUUCUAUACAAAUAGCAUUACCUAUAGGAUUUGCUUUUUUACUUAUUGACAAUUAGAAAUGUUUCAGAGAAAAAUAAAAUUAUCGGCUCAAGUGCUAUGCUUUAGCUAAAUACUUUUGCGCCCGAAUUUAUGGAUUGAUCGAAGGGAUAAUCUCGGGCAAUGAAAGUUCGAUUUAUGGCGCCAUGGAUAACAGAGAUCAGAAAUCAGCCAGGUAAUUACGCUAGGAAUGGGGAAGCCGAAAAGAAAUGCGUCCUUUGUUUUAAAAUCACAAGGAAAGAGCGCUUUCGAAAAUCAGGGACCUAUGUGGUUUCCGAGUGAAUGAUAUCUUCUUUCACCCUAGGAAAUUGCACCUCUUCGCAAAAUACAGGAAACGCAAGGUAUCCCUGCAGCUUAAGACGCAUAGAACUUAAGAUGCAUAUAUAUAUUAUUAUUUAUUUAUAAAUAUCGUACCUAUUUGCUCUUUCUUUCCACCUUCUCUUUCCUCGCUCCUUCUGAACACAGAAGGGUUGUAUUUUCAAGCAGAAGAUAUAAAGUUCACGAACGAAUAAGGUGUAAAAGUGGCGAAAAGAGAAUAAGCUAGAAAAAGAAGCGAGUUAAAGCUAGAUAGAUGCGGUUGUAGUAGGUACGACACUAAAUAUGACUAGAACAUGAAUAUAAACUACUGCUAGAAAGUGUAAUUAUGGGAAUGAUAACGCAUUUUCGGGAUUUCAAGAUUGUCAGUAACGAAACAUAGGCAAGCAAGAGCGUGCUUCCUUCGUUAUUUUUAGAGACUUUGGUGCUAUUCAAGGAUAUUGAAAAGAAAAAGUAACGCUUAGCUUGGAGCUCAGUGCAGUCAAGAGAGUUUAAUCGAAGCAUUGCGUCGAAUAAAAGAUGAUGAAAGCGGCAAACUAAAGCUGAAGCAGAACGAUAUUGGAAUUCCGAUAUUGGAUAUAAAAAUUCUAGAAAUGCGACUUCGGACCAACAAUAAUACGAAAAGUCGAUUGAAACCUGACAGCAAGCAUCCAUUAUAAUUUUCUUUUUUUAUUACUCCGUUAUUAAUAAUAAUAUGUAAUUUUUUGUUUUUCUCUUUAUCUCUUUAGGUCUCGUAGGAGAAGAGAAUGAAAAUCAUCAAUCGUGUUGAUUCUGAGUGAACUGGAUUCGUGGAAUAGAAAUAAAAAUACGUUUCAUUUCAGUAUGAUUUAUUGAUUUUUUAAACAAACUGGAAAAUUAAAAAUUAGCAAGUUUAAAUGAAGAAAUUAAGAAUGCUCGUAAAUGCGCCAUUACUUUCGUAAACGAGACGUCUCUCCUUCAGAAAAUGGUACUUUUAGUUUCAAUAUUGUAAAAACGAUUGUACUCCGUCUCUAUUUAUCGAGUACUUUAUUAUCGUCGAAGAAAAUUCGAAAAAAGGUAACAAAAGAAUAAAAAGAGAAUUAAAACAGAGAAAAGUUUCCAGAAUUUAUCAGAAUUGUAUCAUGCAGAUGCGAGAGUUUCUUUGUUUUACUCAUAGUUAACCCCUUAUCCUACAACUACGGGCAUAGCUCGUAAUGCGAUGACGGGCAUAGCCCAUAGUAGAUGAUCGGACUAAUCGGCAUCGCUCGUGGUACGUACUACACAAGUCGUGCGAAUGACUCGAAGGCUGCGCGAGCUUCUUUACGUUUUCGGCCCAAAAUUCUCGAAUUUAAAUCGUACGUUAUGGGGUUAAUACAUAUUAUUAACUUAAUGUUAAUACGUACCCUAAGUUUA